UCUUCCUCAUCCUUUCUUUUGCCUCAUUCCUCCCAGAUCCUUUACUCACUCACAUCUCUCUCUCUGCCCUUAUCUAGACCUUCCUCCCUCCCCUCCCUCUCCUCCCUUCCCUCUCUUCCUGCCCUGCCCUCCUGCAGCUGCCCCAGCCUUGAGCGCAUGGGAGUUUGCCCCCACAUUCGGUCACUGUUCCUACUAGAGCCAGCAUCAGACAGAUGGAGCCAAUGCCAACCAGGUACCGAGGAGGAGUGGGGGAUGGAGAGGUGAAACCUUUACCCACGAACAGCUUAGAAUAUGAGUGACGGCUAACAACUAAAAGCAAAAGAAAACAAAUGAAACCCAAGAGACAGUGAGUCCCGUGAAUACAACACUCGGGAGCUCAGGUAUUGAGCACCAGAACCAUCGUACAGCCAUGUUUGCUUCUAAUCCUGCCUACGCCAGCAUCAGAGACCAACUUUCGGGCUAGACUGUGUUCUACCUCCAAUGUGUUUCAAUCAUUUCCCUCCACAGCAGAGCCAUUCCUGAGUCUUAAGAUGGACACCUAGGGCUCCAUGGUGUAUGUGGAGUUUCUGAGCAGAGCAGCACAGGAGAUACGAGACCAACUCCGACAGGAAAGAAAUGGGCUUGAAGGCAGAGCACCAGCGCAUCUUCCAAUAAGGAGGCAAUCCAUGUGAUGAUGCUCAGGAAGUCCACUUGAGCCUGCAUCACUGAGCCAUGAGAAGAGCUACCCACGAGCUGUUUCCUGACAUAGCAAUUUCCAGACCAGCAGCAGGAGCAUCACCAGAGAAUCAGUCUCUGCCUUCCCCCCAGACCCACAGAGUCAGAAGCUGUAGAGAUAAGGUCCAUCACCUUCUGUAUGAAGGAGACCUCCAGGGGAUUCAAAUGAAAGGGAAGUUUGGCAAGCAAUGUCUUAGACUUUCUAAAGCCUAUGGGCGUAGUUUGACUUCAGCACACUUUGUAUGAACAAGCAAAAAGUAGGCGGGGGUUAUUGAGCUGCUGAAAUCACAGCUUCUCUGAGGUAUUGCAUCACUGCAAAUGUAAGUUGAGUGUAGCUUGUCAGAACUGGAAGGUAACUAUAGGUAUAAAAUACAGUAUAAAAGCAAUCACAUUGAAUUUGCCUAAGCAUUAUCACCUGCUGGAAGCUUCCAGUGUAGGGUCUGCUCCAAUUUUAACAAAAGAGAAGAUGGCCAUGUUUUAAAGAAUGAUUAAAAGUAUUAGCAUCAAACAGAUUAUUUUUUUUCUUGAUGAAGAACUGACUUAAAAUUGUGGCUGCAACAGAAGACUUACCAUGUCGCUCCCUGAAGCCACCUCAUGCACCUUUGUGGGAAACACUGAUCUUAUAGACCCUUUUCUUAUGUAAUAGUGGAAACCUUUGGUCCUAAAAUGUGUGUGCCUUUGCCUAAGACCUCUCACUGUCCACUUCAUACUCCUAUCACUGAAUAACACAGAGUGAGUAAUUUAUAAAGGAUAGAGGCUGGUGUUUAUUUAUUUUGAGAUUUGUUUUUGGUUUAGCUCAUAGUUCUGGAGGUUUAGAGUCUAAAAGCACAAGGCCAACAUCUGCUCAGCAUCUUCUCAGGGCUUCCUUCUGAGUCCCAGCACGGCACACAUCAUCACAGAGCUUCACAGAGCAAACACGCUACCCCCAGUCUCUCCUCUCCCUCCAAAGCCGUGGAUGCAACCCAGACUUAACACCUUCAUGAGUUCAUCUGAUCCCAAUCCCUCCCAGAGCCACCAUUUCUAAAUACCACGCUCAUGCUGAUUUGGACAUCAAGUUUACACAGGCAUUGCAAAUACAUUGCUUUUAAGUAAAUUGAGUUGAGGCCCAAGCCCAGGUCCCCGCCCCCUACAUCAUCUAGUUCUAGGUAUUUUGCUUUAUGCU
Long non-coding RNA from Mus musculus (house mouse), 1876 nucleotides. RefSeq annotates it as predicted gene, 35887. The record is from RefSeq and is a predicted model, not a curated record. The transcript is spliced from 5 exons. NCBI's taxonomy places the organism in Eukaryota, Metazoa, Chordata, Mammalia, Rodentia, Muridae.